RNAcentral lists this ribosomal RNA (779 nucleotides) under uncultured Neocallimastigales. Its description in RNAcentral is "partial large subunit ribosomal RNA". It matches the Rfam family "Eukaryotic large subunit ribosomal RNA", at positions 25 to 618 of the family's 3401-position model. The record is from RNAcentral. Lineage: Eukaryota; Fungi; Neocallimastigomycota; Neocallimastigomycetes; Neocallimastigales.
CCGUCUAUAUACGUAUAGCAUAUCAAUAAGCGGAGGAAAAGAAACUAACAAGGAUUCCCUUAGUAACGGCGAGUGAAGCGGGAAGAGUUCAAAUUUGAAAUCUUCAAGGUUCUACCUUGACGAAUUGUAGUUUAAAGAAGUGUUUUCUGUUAGAGGAGUAGGCAAAAGUUCCUUGGAAUAGGGACAUCAUAGAGGGUGAGAAUCCCGUAUUUGGUUACUUCUUUCUAGCUUUGUGAUACACUUUCAAAGAGUCGGAUUGUUUGGGAAUGCAGUCCAAAAUGGGUGGUAAAUUUCAGCUAAAGCUAAAUAUUGGCGAGAGACCGAUAGCGAACAAGUACCGUGAGGGAAAGAUGAAGAGAACUUUGAAAAGAGAGUUAAACAGUACGUGAAAUUGUCAAAAGGGAAGCGUUUGACACCAGUGUUGUUUUUCCGAAAAUCAAUUAAGAGUGGCUUGAUUUUGUGUUGUAUUGACCUUAUCAGCUUUCUUCACUCUUUUUCGAGUCUUUCUUAAUGCACUUUUCGGUUAACAAGUCAACAUCAAUUUCUUUUGUUGUAAAAGGGUAUUUGGAAGGUGGCUUUCUUUUCGGAGAAAGUGUUUAUAGCCUUAUACCUCUACAAUCGGAGAGAUUGAGGUCUGCAGCGUAGAUCCUUCGGGGCUAGAUACACUUGUGCUAAGUUAUAGCUUUUCAUAGACAACUUGUUGACUAUGUUUAGUCAUGUAGCUUACCCGCUUGUGCUAUUUUACCUACGCUUAGGAUGUUGAGUCAUCACACAUCUCU